GCUCAACCGAAGAAGUGCAUUGGAAACUGGGAGACUUGAGUGCAGAAGAGGACAGUGGAACUCCAUGUGUAGCGGUGAAAUGCGUAGAUAUAUGGAAGAACACCAGUGGCGAAGGCGGCUGUCUGGUCUGCAACUGACGCUGAGGCUCGAAAGCAUGGGUAGCGAACAGGAUUAGAUACCCUGGUAGUCCAUGCCGUAAACGAUGAUUACUAAGUGUUGGAGGGUUUCCGCCCUUCAGUGCUGCAGCUAACGCAUUAAGUAAUCCGCCUGGGGAGUACGACCGCAAGGUUGAAACUCAAAAGAAUUGACGGGGGCCCGCACAAGCGGUGGAGCAUGUGGUUUAAUUCGAAGCUACGCGAAGAACCUUACCAGGUCUUGACAUCUUCUGGCGGUCUAAGAGAUUAGAGGUUCCCUUCGGGGACAGAAUGACAGGUGGUGCAUGGUUGUCGUCAGCUCGUGUCGUGAGAUGUUGGGUUAAGUCCCGCAACGAGCGCAACCCUUAUUACUAGUUGCCAGCAUUAAGUUGGGCACUCUAGUGAGACUGCCGGUGACAAACCGGAGGAAGGUGGGGACGACGUCAAAUCAUCAUGCCCCUUAUGACCUGGGCUACACACGUGCUACAAUGGAUGGUACAACG
Molecule: ribosomal RNA, 637 nt
Filed under: uncultured bacterium
Lineage: Bacteria
Description: bacterial SSU rRNA
Rfam family: Bacterial small subunit ribosomal RNA
Source: RNAcentral